Molecule: long non-coding RNA, 4506 nt
Filed under: Sus scrofa (pig)
Lineage: Eukaryota; Metazoa; Chordata; Mammalia; Artiodactyla; Suidae
Description: lncRNA (ENSSSCG00000054282.1)
Source: RNAcentral
UUUUUUUUUUUUUUUUUUGCCACAACUCCUGGCCCCUCCAUAUAUGGAUAUAUGCAGGAUAGGGCCAUGUGAUGAGCUGGCAGCUAGGUUACUCUAUCAAAAGUACAGGUGGUGGGAGUUCCCAUCGUGGCUCAGUGGUUAGCGAACCUGAUGAGUAUGCAUGAGGACGUGGGUCUGAUUCCUGGCCUCGCUCAGUGGGUUAAGGAUCCGUGUGGCAGUGAGCUGUGGUGUAGGUUGCAGAUGCGACUUGGAUCCUGCGUUGCUGUGGCUCUGGUGUAGGCCAGCAGCAGCAGCUCCAUUCGACCCUUACCUGGGAACCUCCAUAUGCCACGGGUGCGGCCCUAAAAAAGACAAAACAAAAAACAAAAAAACCCAAUAAAGUACAGGGUAGAGUGAGGGCUCAGAACAAAUUCUGAUGUAGCAGUAAUGCCUCACGCAAGGAAAUACUAGACUUUAUAUCACUUCACUUUGAAACACUUGGGACAAGCAUGUUCUUCAAUGCAGAGAAAGAGGCUCAACAAAUAUUCAUGGAAUUUAAUAUUCAUUCCCUAAAGCAAAAUAAUCCUGCCACGGUAAAAUAAGCAAUCUGUUUCUACAUUGCAAUGGCAGUAUAUAUCUAUAUCUUGAAAUAUAUUGCCUAUGUAAUUCACAAUAUAUUGCUCUAGUAAAUCAGCCCUAAUUCCAAAUUUAUUUGAAAUAAACUUCAACUUGUCAAUGCUAAAACGUUCUGUAAGCAUCAAAUAAAAAAUAACUGUAACAUUUACAUCCUAUCAUUUUCCGUGUAGUAGAGUAAAACUUAUUGUGUUAAGUACUUUGUAUCAAGAGAGACGGAAACAGCUUCAGCAAAGCUGCACCGUGGAGUUUGCAACACCUUAUCUGUCAGAUGAGUGCUCUCAUUAAAUCUUGUUUCUAACAAUCCCUAAUACAUUUUCUCCUAUUCAAUAUUUGAAUAUCAGAUUUUUUUAAAAAAGAAAAUUGUUAGUUUGCACACAUGGGAGAUAGAUUUUUGGCAAGCAAGAGUAUCCUAAACACGGCAUGAAGUCCCAUUACUCAGUUCUAAUAUUGGUCACUAAAAAGCAAAGACCUAAAAUGUACAGUCAGUAAAAAUUAAUUCCCAAUCUUAGAAAGUACACUGAAGUGAAUACUUUACUUUCAGUCAGAAAUAAAACUAUCAGCUACUUAGGAGAGCAUAUUAGAGGUGUAAGUUGUGUCACAGAUUUCCUCCCAAAUCUCAUCAAUGGUCACACCUCCUUAGGUGAUAACCUCUCUUCUUAAACUUGUAAGAAUCCCUGAUGACCCAUGACCCCUCUUUGCUUUGCACCUGUAGAUCUGGAUCCUAUAAACUUCUAUCAUUUCAUGUAUGGCCCCCUGUCCCGAAAACUUACACAACUAUACUGUGACCUUUAUUGGGCAAAACAGUUCUUAGAGCUAGCUGAAAGGCUGUUUCUGGGUUAUAACCCUGUUUGUUCCAAGUAAAAUUUUCCAUUUCUCUCUUUUGAUUGGUUACUUUUUCUUCAACAAUACAUAUUUUCACACAUACAUAUACACACAAAUCCACUCAUGUAUACAUAUGUUAUCUUGCAAAGCUAUUAGCUAAUAUUAUUAAUUUUAAAAAUUAAAAACUAAAUGAAUUGUUCGGUCUAGUAAUGGCAAAGAACUAUGAUCAUCCAGAAGAGAAAUAUGUAAGAAUACUUAUUAAAAUACUGACAAAGGUAGUGACGUUAGGGGGAUUUGGGGUUCCUUGUCCAGUGCCUUCUGUCUGUGUCUGUUUCCAACAUGGGAGAUCAGAUAGGGUAUUUCGUUUGCAGCAGGUUCCACAGAAUCCCUCUUCCUAUGAAUGGCUCAUUACCUAUUGAGCCAAAGGUUCUCCUUGACAAUCUCAUUCCCCUCCACCCUUGCUGCUGAGUGCGCCUCUUGGCAGGUGUAGAGCCAACAGACACGAAGACUACUGCCAUGUGAGCACACAUACAUUUUUCAAAUAUGAAAAUCCUUGUUUGAAGAGCUACGGAAAUCCAAAUGGUAGAAACCCAUCUAAGAAACAAAUAGGUAACACUGAGAGAGAAUCAAGGUCACAGGCUUUUCUCUAGGUAACUGUCUCAAUGCUUUUUGAGCAGAAGUAGCCUUUUAUUAGGGACAGGGGAAAUCUAAAGAAGCUCAAGGUCUUAAUUACAUGUUUCCCAAGUCGUAUUUAGGCAGGAAAGUGCAAACUCAUUUGAAUAAUUAUUAAUUGGUCCACUCGACAAAUUGCUAACCAAAAUUGUCAUUUAGGAAAUACAUAAUUAAAAAAUGAAAGUGAUGAAACCAUUUAUACUUUUUUUUUCUUUCCAAAAUAGGCAGAGUUUUUGUUUUGUUUUGUUUCCUCACAGUCUCAUUCCAUUUAACACAGAUCUUGGCUGCAUUUUGCAUAUUACUACAAGAUUUAUGAUGUGAUAAUAUUCUCUCUGAUGUCAAAACAGAAAAUGUGCUGCUAAGUAUUACAAUUUUAUGAUCUCUGGCUUAACCUCAUUGCAACAAAUAUGAUGGGUUUACUACUAUCUAAGCUAAGUGAGCAAUUGUAAAGUAGUUUUGAAGUAGUUUAAUGUUGGAAGUACUUGGUGGCUUUGUGGGUAGGACUCAGGGCUUUCAUCCCUGAGGCCCAGGACAUCAAGCCACCGCAUUCUAAGGCCAAAAAUAAAUAAACUAUAUAAAAUAAAGUAGUUUAAUAUGGUCCUUCAUGAUCAUGAUUAAAGCUUUUCCCUUAGUGAUAAUACCCCCAACUUGUCAAUUCUCUCAUCUUCAAUUCUAAAGACUCAAGAGUACUCUUUUUGACUACAGAGUAACUGUGCAAUGGGCUCUUCAGUCAUAAGAAGGGAAGAAGGCAAAAUCUUUGAAGCAAUAAGGUAUUGCUCAUAUCUAGAUGGUCAGAAGGUUGAAAGGCUGGUCCCUGUUGGCCAGUGGUUCUUCUCGCCAACAACAGGACCCAACCUUUGUGUUGAAUUGGCUUCUAGCCAGGUCUCCUAAAUUUCCCCCUGCAAAGCAAUGCCUUUCUUUUCUCCUUCCCCUUGGAAGUUGUGAAUUUUAAUCUUUAUGUCCCAGUCAGGAUUGAGUCUUUGUUCCUGUUUCCACAGACUCAGGCUCACCAAGGAAGAGACGAUUUCACAGGGAUCCAAUGAAAAUGCCCUAGUGAACAUGGUGGAUGCUAUAAAUGCAGAUUAACCCUAACAAUCAUUAUCUACUUUUUUUAUAUUCUUAUAUAUUAGGAAACUCCUAAGAAAAUCUUAAAAAUCAUUAUAAAGGGCACAUAGUUCGGACUGGUUUCAAAAGGGCACAGUUUCCUUGUAUCCCAGUAUAUACUAACCAAAGAAGAGAAACGUACAAUGACUUGAAAGCUAUUUGGAAGAUAAAAUGCGUAGGAUUUUGUGAAGGCUUUAGAGUGGAGAGGAUGAAAUAAUGGGAGGAGGUGGUUGUAGAGUUCCGUUUUCAGGCUAAAGAGAAAACCAGGUUUGGAGGGAGACUUCUGUGAAUUCAGGGGUAAUCAUGCUGAAUUUGAAGUGCUAAAGACACUAGGAAAUUGCUCUCCACAGAAGGGAGCCCCUUCACCAAAGUCAUACCCCUUCCAGAGACAGAACUUGCAUCCAAUGACUAGUUAAUGUAAAUCAGAGUCUCUUAGGUCCAGUUGAGAACAUUUCUGAAGGGCCAUGCCCGUGUUGGAGUUCAACUUAGAACUGGUUGAUCUUGUCCAAAUUUUGGCCUCGACAGAGUGUUUUUGAAAUGGGAGCCUCUCGAUGCUAAAACCAGGAGGGUCAGAAGCAAACCAGAAUGGUUGGUUCUCUGAGAAGCUAAGUAAAAUUCACUCUGCUCGGUCUUUUUUCUGGCAUUCCCUUCAUGGUGUUGUUUGUAAACACUGCUUGUUAAUGCUUGCAAGCAAAUAUUCUCAGAGCCUAUUUUGUAGGAAAUCUUACCUAAGACAGAUAACAAACCAUGUUCCUUUUGGAAAAGCAUUCCGUGCUAUACCCAGUUUUAAGAGGUUCAGUACUUCAUGGAUGUAGGUAAGUCUGCAAGAGACUCAGAGCAAGUAUCCCUUUAUCUUGCUUGUCUCUAUUCUGCCUCCAUCUACAUAUGUUGUCUUUAGUUUACAUGUCUCACACUCCCAAAACUUAUAUUGUCUACAAUAUUUUGUUUAAUUUGGGAUAAAAUUUCAGGUUAAGUUUCUUGAAUCUAGCUUUAUUUUUAUUUUAAUUCUUAAAAAAUUUUGACCAUGGCUGCAGCAUGUGGAGUUCCUGGGGCAGGGAUUGAACCUGUGCCACAGCAGUGACCCUAGACACUGAAGGACAACUAGGCAGACUCUCAAUUGCUGAGUCACGAGAGAACUCCUUGAAUUUAGUGGUUAGAUUGACUAUGUGAUCACGCAUUGAUAAUGCAUGCAAUCAAUAGUUUAAAAUUAAAAGUGUUUUUUCAAAAAAGCUUAUUUUUAUAUGUUAUGUGAAAUAAACAUUCAUCUAAUAUUUAUUAGAAUUUCUUGUUCUG